This 220-nucleotide ribosomal RNA is filed under the name uncultured bacterium. RNAcentral describes it as "partial 16S ribosomal RNA". It matches the Rfam family "Bacterial small subunit ribosomal RNA", at positions 57 to 305 of the family's 1533-position model. The record is from RNAcentral.
GCAAGUCGAGCGCGCCCUUCGGGGUGAGCGGCGGACGGGUGAGUAACGCGUGGGAAUAUGCCCUUCUCUAAGGAAUAGCCACUGGAAACGGUGAGUAAUACCUUAUACGCCCUUUUGGGGAAAGAUUUAUCGGUGAAGGAUCGGCCCGCCUUAGAUUAGGUAGUUGGUGGGGUAAUGGCCUACCAAGCCUACGAUCUAUAGCUGGUUUGAGAGGAUGAUC